This 431-nucleotide ribosomal RNA is filed under the name uncultured bacterium. Its description in RNAcentral is "bacterial SSU rRNA". It matches the Rfam family "Bacterial small subunit ribosomal RNA", at positions 57 to 483 of the family's 1533-position model. The record is from RNAcentral.
GCAAGUCGAACGGUAACAUUUCUAGCUUGCUAGAAGAUGACGAGUGGCGGACGGGUGAGUAAUGCUUAGGAAUUUGCCUUUGUGAGGGGGACAACAGUUGGAAACGACUGCUAAUACCGCAUAAUACCUUCGGGUCAAAGGGGGCGCUUGCGCUCUUGCACAAAGAGAAGCCUAAGUGAGAUUAGCUAGUUGGUAAGGUAAAGGCUUACCAAGGCGACGAUCUCUAGCUGUUCUGAGAGGAAGAUCAGCCACACUGGGACUGAGACACGGCCCAGACUCCUACGGGAGGCAGCAGUGGGGAAUAUUGCACAAUGGGGGGAACCCUGAUGCAGCCAUGCCGCGUGUGUGAAGAAGGCCUUCGGGUUGUAAAGCACUUUCAGUGGGGAGGAAAAGGUAGUUGUUAAUACCAGCUACCCGUGACGUUACCCACA